AGAAGAAGAAAACAAAGAAAGCGAAAUAGAGAGAAAGCGAAAUGUCUGGUAAAUGGACUCGUUCCGAUUCAACGCCACUCCUUCGCCCACAACACCAUCCAUCACAACGCUUCUCCCCCUCAAACGCUUAUUCCUCAUACUCCUCUAUCUCUCUCGAAAUGACCUCCGCCGUCUCCGCCACCACCACCCCCACCGCCCGCUCCGUCUUCCUCGGCGUCGACGUCGGCACCGGCAGCGCCCGCGCAGGUGUGUUUGAUGAGAAUGGGAAGCUUCUAGGUUCGUCUAGCAGUCCGAUUCAGAUUUGGAAGGACGGUGAUUGCGUUGAGCAAUCUUCGACGGAUAUCUGACAUGCAAUAAGUGCUGCUGUAAAAGCAGCAUGCUCCCUUGCAGAAGUUUCCGGGGAUGAAGUGAAGGGUCUGGGAUUCGCGGCUACUUGUUCACUAGUUGCAGUGGAUGCUGAUGGCUCUCCUGUUACGGUUUCCUGGAGUGGUGAUUCAAGAAGAAACAUAAUAGUAUGGAUGGACCAUAGAGCUGUAGAACAAGCUGAAAGGAUCAAUUCACGCAACUCACCCGUCCUGCAGUACUGUGGUGGAGCUCUUUCCCCUGAGAUGCAGCCUCCUAAGCUUUUAUGGGUGAAAGAAAAUCUGCCAGAAUCUUGGUCAAUGGUCUUCAGGUGGAUGGACUUGAGUGAUUGGUUAUCAUACAGCUUUUGCAUAUCUUUAGGGCCACAGGAGAUGAUGCACGUAGUCUCUGCACAACAGUUUGCAAAUGGACAUAUCUUGGUCAUGCACAUAUGCAGCAAAACAAUGAGAAAGAUUCUCGAGACAUGGAAGCUUGUGGAUGGGAUGAUGAUUUCUGGGAGGAGAUUGGAUUAGGUGAUCUUGUAGAAGGGUAUCAUGCUAAGAUAG
Long non-coding RNA from Rosa rugosa (rugosa rose), 908 nucleotides. RefSeq lists it as uncharacterized. The record is from RefSeq and is a predicted model, not a curated record. NCBI's taxonomy places the organism in Eukaryota, Viridiplantae, Streptophyta, Magnoliopsida, Rosales, Rosaceae. The transcript is spliced from 6 exons.